GAGCAGGGUGACAGGAUGAGAAUUCCCCUGGCUUUGCUGUGGCAGCUGCUGCCCGGGCUGCACACCCAGCUGAGGAAGCAGACCAGGAAAGGGUGCUCAGAGUAGUUCCUGCAGCUGAAGAAAGAGCCUACACCAAACCCAGGACUUGCCUGUGGGUCACCACACUGCUUUUGGAGGAGAUUUUUAAGGAGUUGUGAGACUUCGGACUCAAAGCAUUAUAUCAUGGUGAAAAAAGGCAAAACUUCUCAUCAGACAACCAGAAUUUGCAGUUUCCAUCUGCCCCAAGCUGAACUUUGGGCUAGAGGAGUAGCUGCAGGCUGCUGAUGUCCUAAGAAGCACAGGGUUUGGGGUCUAUCUGUGCCGCAGCACCAAGAGUUCAUUUAUCUCUCUCUGGGAAGGUUUUACCCCAAGAUUUAUAAUCCUGUGCCAUAGUGUCAGCCUCAGGAAACAGAUGCAUCAGUUAAGCCACAGUCAUAGACAAGGGGGACCACCUAUUCUCAGGCAGCAAAGGGCAGCAGCCCUGCAGGGCUCUUGCCAGCCCUUAGAGCCCCUAAUUGUCCUCAGCUGGGCCUGCCUACUGCUAUUUAAGCUCCAGCUGAGGAGCAUUUCCUGUUAUUGCUUCUUCUGCUUGGCUGCUGGGGGAACUGGGCUUCAUCUUUGA
RNAcentral lists this long non-coding RNA (661 nucleotides) under Zonotrichia albicollis (white-throated sparrow). Its description in RNAcentral is "lncRNA (ENSZALG00000016722.1)". Lineage: Eukaryota; Metazoa; Chordata; Aves; Passeriformes; Passerellidae. The record is from RNAcentral.